GUACACUCCUGCGGGAGGCAGCAGUGGGGAAUAUUGGACAAUGGGCGCAAGCCUGAUCCAGCCAUGCCGCGUGAGUGAUGAAGGCCCUAGGGUUGUAAAGCUCUUUCACCGGAGAAGAUAAUGACGGUAUCCGGAGAAGAAGCCCCGGCUAACUUCGUGCCAGCAGCCGCGGUAAUACGAAGGGGGCUAGCGUUGUUCGGAAUUACUGGGCGUAAAGCGCACGUAGGCGGAUCGAUCAGUCAGGGGUGAAAUCCCAGGGCUCAACCCUGGAACUGCCUUUGAUACUGUCGAUCUGGAGUAUGGAAGAGGUGAGUGGAAUUCCGAGUGUAGAGGUGAAAUUCGUAGAUAUUCGGAGGAACACCAGUGGCGAAGGCGGCUCACUGGUCCAUUACUGACGCUGAGGUGCGAAAGCGUGGGGAGCAAACAGGAUUAGAAACCCUUGUAGUCCCAUGAU
RNAcentral lists this ribosomal RNA (454 nucleotides) under uncultured organism. RNAcentral describes it as "partial 16S ribosomal RNA". It matches the Rfam family "Bacterial small subunit ribosomal RNA", at positions 331 to 801 of the family's 1533-position model. The record is from RNAcentral.